AUGCAGAGCAAUAAAACCUUUAACUUGAAGAAGCAGAAUCAUACCCCAAGGAAGCACCAUUAACAUCAGCAGCGGCGGCGGCGGCGGCAGCAGCAACCACCCCCACCAAUACCUGCAAAUGGACAACCCGCCAGCAGCCAGAACGAAGGCUUGACUAUUGAUCUGAAGAAUUUCAGGAAACCAGGAGAGAAGACCUUUACCCAAUGUAGCCGUCUCUUUGUGGGCAAUCUUUCUCCUGUCGUCACUGAGGAGGAAAUGAGGAAACUUUUUGAGAAAUAUGGAAAAGCAGGCGAAGUUUUCAUACAUAAUGAUAAAGCCUUUGGCUUUAUUUGCUUGGAAAUGCGAACCCUAGCGGAAAUUGCUGAAGUGACGCUGGACAAUAUGCCACUCUGUGGAAAGCAGCUGCGCAAGUGCGCUUUGCCUGUCGGGGUGCAUCCCUUACAGACUGCUGGAAGAAGCCUUUUCAGUGAUUCGCUAGGUGGAGUGAGAUCUCAGGGAAGCCAGCUGCUCGGAAAGCUCUGGACAGAUGCCGUGAAGGCUACUUCUCGCUAACCGUAUUUCCUCGGCCUGUGACUGUGGAGCCUAUGAACCAGUUAGAUGAUGAAGAGGGACUUCCAGAGAAGCUGGUUAUUAAAAACCAACAAUUUCACAAGGAGAGAGAACAGCCACCCAGAUUUGCACAACCUGGGUCCUUUGAGUAUGAGUUAGACAUGCGCUGGAAGGCACUCACUGAGAUGGAGAAGCAACAACAGGAUCAAGUGUACCGGAACAUCAAGGAAGCUUGUGAGAAGCUAGGAAUGGAGAUGGAGGCAGUUUAUGCUAAUGAGGCAGAAGAGCCUCGGAGAAUGGAGGAGCUGCAUAACCAAGAGGUUUCAGAAACCAAAGCAGUUAGAGCUCAGGCAGGAAGAGGAAUGCAGGCGUAGGAGGUAGGAGCCGUGGGAUGCGGUGAUAACAAGAUGUGAAGGAUUCAAGGGAACCUUCCCUGAUGCGAGAGAACAAGAGAUACAGGUGGGCCAAAUGGUUAUGGGAGGUGCUAUGGGCAUAAACGAUAGGGGUGCCAUGCCCCCUGCUCCUGUGCCACCUGGUACUCCAGCUCCUCCAGGACCUUCCGCUCUGAUGCCAGAUGGAACCUUGGGAUUGACCCCACCACCAACUGAAUGAUUUGGCCAAGUGGAAGGAAUUGGAGAAAUUGGUGGACUGGAGCAUCUAACUGUCCAGCUCCAGGAGCUGAAUUUACUCCAAAUAAACGCCGCCGAUUUUAG
Non-coding RNA from Arvicanthis niloticus (Nile rat), 1262 nucleotides. NCBI's taxonomy places the organism in Eukaryota, Metazoa, Chordata, Mammalia, Rodentia, Muridae. The record is from RefSeq and is a predicted model, not a curated record.